Molecule: long non-coding RNA, 2056 nt
Organism: Gasterosteus aculeatus aculeatus (three-spined stickleback)
Lineage: Eukaryota; Metazoa; Chordata; Actinopteri; Perciformes; Gasterosteidae
Source: Ensembl
GGGGAUGGUGAAUGCCUGCCCCAAAAGGAUGGAGGGCAAAUAGGGGUCAGCAGCAGGCCGAGGGUUAAGUGGAGGCUUUCUGUUUCGCUUCCAGUGUGACAAAGGUUAUGUUAUGGAUAUAAAAGGUGUUAUAGAUGACAGUAAUACAUACAUUAUAUAUCUAUAUCAUGCCGUCGGGAUGCGGAGAAUAGUGUGAAUUGCUGUCUCAACAAUAAUGACCUUAUGGUGAGAUUAUUGAUCAACACUCUUCUUUGCUUUAAAACCAGGAGACGCUCUGAAUAUAUGAUAUCUAGUCCCACCGUGCAGAUAUAACAUCCAUUUACUGACCUCAUGUGAGUAACCGAUGGGAAGCUUGCUGAUGCAACGCAAGGUUUUAAUUUCCAACCAAAUGACAAAUUUACCCGCUGUAUAUAUACAUAUAUAUAUAUAUGUAUAUAUAUAUAUAUAUAUAUAUAUAUAUAUAUAUAUAUAUAUAUACAUAUAUAUAUAUAUGUAUAUAUAUAUAUAUAUAUAUAUAUAUAUAUAUGUAUAUAUGCAUAUAUAUAUAUACAUAUACAUAUAUAUAUUUAUAUUUAGAUAUAUAUACACAUUUACAUUCAAAUAUUCAACAAUACAGCUUUAGAAUUAUUCCAUUCAUAUUAUAUUAUUUCAUAUUACAUGUUUAUAUUGUCUUUGUUAUAUUUCCUGUUAACAGUUUACACUGUUAAACGCACAGACACUCCGAUACUUUAAAGAGCACAUCUUUGCACAUCUUUGUCGUUGAAGACGACACAACAGUGAAAUCGCUCUGUUUCUUAAACCUUACACGCAGAGGAAAAUGUAAUCUGCUCACUUAUUUGGUUCAGAGAUGGAAAUUAGAUCAGCGUCUCAGCGCUGAGCCAUGUGGGACGGGACGGAGAUUCGGAUCGUUUUUGAAAAACCCGAAGAACAGACAAAAGGAGUGUUUGACCUCCUGAAGCGACGUGCGAGUGCUGGUGAUCUGCUCUGGCCGAUGUUUCGAUUGGUUGUUUUUCUGCCCAAAUGCACCCUGGGAAUUGUGGGUGACUUUUCUCUCCAUGAUUCAAUGCGUACAUCCGAUUUAGAAUCAAAGAACAAGAAGCUUUUUAACACUUCAUCUUUUAAAUCUUUCCUACUCAACACCGUCAAAAGGAAGAAUGGGAAUUUACUUCUGAAACGGCUCUUCCCACUUUUAAGCUUUUGGAGACACAUCAUCACUUAAACAAAGUAUAUGUUUGUUUAGUUUGUACUUAAAUGAUAGAAUCCCUCAUUCUCCUUUUGACCUUUGACCCUGAAAACUCUGCUUUUCCGUGACGGACAGACUUACCCUAAAGUGUUUAAUUGGUGAAGACAGACUGUUCAAAUCUCUUGAUGUCGCAACCCCCAAUUCCCAAUGGUUACUGUGUGUGUGUGUGUGUGUGUGCCUCUGUGUGUGUGUGUGUGUGCCUCUACCUGGAUCAAUGCGGCUCCUCUGAAGUCACCGUGACGUGACGGAGGGUUGAGAUGUUUUUGGCUCGUCUGCAGCUGAGGCCUCCUUAUUCCAGCCGGAUUAACCCGGUCUGAACGCCGCAGUGGGAAGGCGCGUUUCGUUGGCCGAUGGCGCUGCAGGCGAGGGGGAUUAUCUCCAUGGCGCCCCUCACCUCAGAGGUGAUGUGAGGACGUCUUGACGGGUCAUUAUCUCUGCUCUGCUCCGGCUGCAGGCGUGAGGUGAAGCACAAAGAUGCUGCUUUAUGCUCGAUUGACACAUCUGUCAGCCACUGAUGACCCGAGGAUUCAUCACCACACCUCCUCAUCUACCUCUUCAGCUUCUAAAUGGGUCUAAAUGGACCAUCAUUUACUAAAUGAACAUCAUGCUGUAUUGAGGAAGACUUGAAACCAGAGAUUGAGACCAUAAACAUGUUUACAAUAUUUACUGAGGGAAUAAAUCAAGAGAGAAGUAGAGAGUCUAUAGGACCAGAGGAGUCGCAGUAUUUCAAUACAUUUAAAUACAUCCUCAUUGUUCAAUGAUAUUUUAUUAUCAGGAAUCAUACAGUAAGUCAUGUUGUCUAAUAAAUAUAAG